GGGCGUAAAGCGCGCGCAGGUGGUUUCUUAAGUCUGAUGUGAAAGCCCACGGCUCAACCGUGGAGGGUCAUUGGAAACUGGGAGACUUGAGUGCAGAAGAGGAAAGUGGAAUUCCAUGUGUAGCGGUGAAAUGCGUAGAGAUAUGGAGGAACACCAGUGGCGAAGGCGACUUUCUGGUCUGUAACUGACACUGAGGCGCGAAAGCGUGGGGAGCAAACAGGAUUAGAUACCCUGGUAGUCCACGCCGUAAACGAUGAGUGCUAAGUGUUAGAGGGUUUCCGCCCUUUAGUGCUGAAGUUAACGCAUUAAGCACUCCGCCUGGGGAGUACGGCCGCAAGGCUGAAACUUAAAGGAAUUGGCGGG
RNAcentral lists this ribosomal RNA (363 nucleotides) under Bacillus cereus. RNAcentral's name for it is "bacterial SSU rRNA". It matches the Rfam family "Bacterial small subunit ribosomal RNA", at positions 556 to 917 of the family's 1533-position model. The record is from RNAcentral. Lineage: Bacteria; Bacillati; Bacillota; Bacilli; Caryophanales; Bacillaceae.